Molecule: ribosomal RNA, 253 nt
Filed under: uncultured bacterium
Lineage: Bacteria
Description: partial 16S ribosomal RNA
Rfam family: Bacterial small subunit ribosomal RNA
Source: RNAcentral
UACGUAGGGUGCGAGCGUUAAUCGGAAUUACUGGGCGUAAAGCGUGCGCAGGCGGUUUUGUAAGCCAGAUGUGAAAUCCCCGGGCUUAACCUGGGAAUGGCAUUUGGGACUGCAAGGCUGGAGUGCGGCAGAGGAGACUGGAAUUCCUGGUGUAGCAGUGAAAUGCGUAGAUAUCGAGAGGAACACCAGUGGCGAAGGCGAGUCCCUGGACAACACCUGACACUGAGGCACGAAAGCUAGGGGAGCAAACAGG